This 759-nucleotide ribosomal RNA is filed under the name Haemophilus influenzae. RNAcentral's name for it is "bacterial SSU rRNA". It matches the Rfam family "Bacterial small subunit ribosomal RNA", at positions 28 to 776 of the family's 1533-position model. The record is from RNAcentral. Lineage: Bacteria; Pseudomonadati; Pseudomonadota; Gammaproteobacteria; Pasteurellales; Pasteurellaceae.
AUUGAACGCUGGCGGCAGGCUUAACACAUGCAAGUCGAACGGUAGCAGGAGAAAGGUUGCUUUCUUGCUGACGAGUGGCGGACGGGCGAGUAAUGCUUGGGAAUCUGGCUUAUGGAGGGGGAUAACGACGGGAAACUGUCGCUAAUACCGCGUAUUAUCGGAAGAUGAAAGUGCGGGACUGAGAGGCCGCAUGCCAUAGGAUGAGCCCAAGUGGGAUUAGGUAGUUGGUGGGGUAAAUGCCUACCAAGCCUGCGAUCUCUAGCUGGUCUGAGAGGAUGACCAGCCACACUGGAACUGAGACACGGUCCAGACUCCUACGGGAGGCAGCAGUGGGGAAUAUUGCGCAAUGGGGGGAACCCUGACGCAGCCAUGCCGCGUGAAUGAAGAAGGCCUUAGGGUUGUAAAGUUCUUUCGGUAUUGAGGAAGGUUGAUGUGUUAAUAGCACAUCAAAUUGACGUUAAAUACAGAAGAAGCACCGGCUAACUCCGUGCCAGCAGCCGCGGUAAUACGGAGGGUGCGAGCGUUAAUCGGAAUAACUGGGCGUAAAGGGCACGCAGGCGGUUAUUUAAGUGAGGUGUGAAAGCCCCGGGCUUAACCUGGGAAUUGCAUUUCAGACUGGGUAACUAGAGUACUUUAGGGAGGGGUAGAAUUCCACGUGUAGCGGUGAAAUGCGUAGAGAUGUGGAGGAAUACCGAAGGCGAAGGCAGCCCCUUGGGAAUGUACUGACGCUCAUGUGCGAAAGCGUGGGGAGCAAACAGG